This 66-nucleotide ribosomal RNA is filed under the name uncultured bacterium. RNAcentral's name for it is "partial 16S ribosomal RNA". The record is from RNAcentral.
ACCCGAAGCCGGUGGCCCAACCCCUUGUGGGAGGAGCCGUCGAAGGUGGGAUUGGCGAUUGGGACG